UUUUACAUUCACUUUAAAACAAGAUAUAAAGAAUUUAAAGAACAAAUAAUAAAUAAAUAUAUAUACAUAGUUUCAAUAUUGAAAUUCAAUAACUAUCUUGAAGACAAAUAACAAAAGUAAAUAAUUCCUGAAUAUUAUUUGAUAUAAUAUCAUAGCACUGGUUAUUGAUAAAACACAGUCAACCCGGGGUCAACUUUUUAUAUUUACACCGGGGAUUUUAAUCAUAAGGGGGAUCUCAUUCAUUUCAAACAUGUUUUUUAAUAUACAUUUUACUACACUAUGGUUGAAAUACACGUCUGGCGUAAAAAAUUCUAAACCUUGUAUCUAUGAGAGUUUUAAUGUGCAUAAAUGCCCUUUUCACUAGUUUGAAUGCCUGUUUUGAGGUAUUCAAAAUAUAAUAAAGAAUUUCAGUAGGCAAGCUAUGACAUAACCAGUCAGCAAGGCAAUAGUGUGGCAUAAAAGCGUAUAAAGGCCAUACAUGCCAUAAUAGAAAACAAAAAUGGAAAUAUCUUGCAGGUCAAAAGUUUUCAUACAAGUUUUUUUCCAAUUUAAAAUUAAUCUAUACCCAUAAUAUUGCACAUGUUUAUAACAUGAAUCUUAUAUUCUACCAAGGUGCUUCCAGUAACAAUACAAAAAAGGCCAGACUUUUAAUUCAGAUUUCAUUUUGAAUAAUAUUUCAAAACAUUAACAUUACUUUGAG
RNAcentral lists this long non-coding RNA (700 nucleotides) under Mytilus galloprovincialis (Mediterranean mussel). The record is from RNAcentral. Lineage: Eukaryota; Metazoa; Mollusca; Bivalvia; Mytilida; Mytilidae.